UGGCGUAAACAAAGGGAAGCGAGCCCGUGAGGGGGAGCAAAUCCCAAAAAUAACGUCUCAGUUCGGACUGUAGUCUGCAACUCGACUACACGAAGCUGGAAUCGCUAGUAAUCGCGAAUCAGAAUGUCGCGGUGAAUACGUUCCCGGGUCUUGUACACACCGCCCGUCACACCAUGGGAGUCGGGAAUGCCCGAAGCCGGUGACCUAACCGAAAGGAAGGAGCCGUCGAAGGCAGGUCUGAUAACUGGGGUGAAGUCGUAACAAGGUAUC
This 270-nucleotide ribosomal RNA is filed under the name uncultured bacterium. RNAcentral's name for it is "partial 16S ribosomal RNA". It matches the Rfam family "Bacterial small subunit ribosomal RNA", at positions 1231 to 1500 of the family's 1533-position model. The record is from RNAcentral.